Molecule: non-coding RNA, 43 nt
Filed under: Trichobilharzia regenti
Lineage: Eukaryota; Metazoa; Platyhelminthes; Trematoda; Strigeidida; Schistosomatidae
Source: RNAcentral
AUGGCUUACGAGUCCCAAAUAGGACGAAAUGCGCAUCCUGGAU